CGGGGUGUAGCGCAGCCUGGUAGCGCGUUCGUCUGGGGGACGAGAGGUCGCUGGUUCGAACCCAGCCAUCCCGA
This 74-nucleotide transfer RNA is filed under the name Aestuariispira insulae. It matches the Rfam family "tRNA". Rfam says of the family: Transfer RNA (tRNA) molecules are approximately 80 nucleotides in length. Their secondary structure includes four short double-helical elements and three loops (D, anti-codon, and T loops). The record is from Rfam by way of RNAcentral. Lineage: Bacteria; Pseudomonadati; Pseudomonadota; Alphaproteobacteria; Rhodospirillales; Aestuariispiraceae.